Molecule: small RNA, 17 nt
Filed under: Arabidopsis thaliana (thale cress)
Lineage: Eukaryota; Viridiplantae; Streptophyta; Magnoliopsida; Brassicales; Brassicaceae
Description: ATSL184370
Source: RNAcentral
UUUUCUUCUUCUUCGGG